Molecule: long non-coding RNA, 257 nt
Filed under: Mytilus galloprovincialis (Mediterranean mussel)
Lineage: Eukaryota; Metazoa; Mollusca; Bivalvia; Mytilida; Mytilidae
Source: RNAcentral
CUUUAUUUAUAACUAAUAUAGGACAAUGCUGUUAAUUAAAAAAUACUCCAUUCCUGGACCUUUUGUUUUCCAAAUAAUUAAUAUUACCAAUAAUUGAUAAGUUCCAGUUCGACGGGUUCAAACAGAAAGAUUUGAAAGCCGAGAAAACAGUGUAUCUUAUAAUCGGCAUGACUUUAUCAGAUGACAAUACUAAUACUAAAAUAAGGCUUGCGCAUAGUUAUAUACUUUAAUUCAGUCACGGACCCGCGAUAUCACGG